UACGUAGGGUGCGAGCGUUGUUCGGAAUUACUGGGCGUAAAGCGCGUGUAGGCGGCUAAGUGUGUCGGGCGUGAAAUCCCACGGCUCAACCGUGGAAGUGCACCCGAAACUACGUAGCUAGAGUCCUGGAGAGGAAGGUGGAAUGCUUGGUGUAGAGGUGAAAUUCGUAGAUAUCAAGCGGAACACCGGUGGCGAAGGCGGCCUUCUGGACAGUGACUGACGCUGAGACGCGAAAGCGUGGGGAGCAAACAGG
Molecule: ribosomal RNA, 253 nt
Filed under: uncultured bacterium
Lineage: Bacteria
Description: partial 16S ribosomal RNA
Rfam family: Bacterial small subunit ribosomal RNA
Source: RNAcentral